Girardinichthys multiradiatus is the source of this 1018-nucleotide long non-coding RNA. RefSeq lists it as uncharacterized. The record is from RefSeq and is a predicted model, not a curated record. The transcript has 4 exons. NCBI's taxonomy places the organism in Eukaryota, Metazoa, Chordata, Actinopteri, Cyprinodontiformes, Goodeidae.
UAGUUAGGGUGAGGUAGAGGAGAAAGAGGAAAGAGGAGACGCAAGGAGGUGCAGGUGGCAGUAGCUCUGUCAGUCCUAAGAAUGUUGAAAAUGGAAGGAAGAGGAGAGGAGGAAAGGAAUGGGUGGUAAAGGGGGCUUGCUCGAAGCUACAAGCAGAGCACACACUGCCUCCUCCUUUCCCAGCCCAGCCGGUGGGAGGGUCUUGAGCAGCUCUGUGCGAGUGAGGGAUCCAGACACAGACCAGCGGGCUGCAGCGUUUCCACAACCUGAGAGAACGCGGGGAAGAGGAGGAGAGGAGUGAAGACCAGAGGGGCUGGCGCCAGUGCGAGCAGUCGAUUCCCCCUACUGGCUGCACAAGAAUCUGUAAAGCCACGCUGACUGUCAUCAUCAGACACUUUGAUGAGAACGUUGCAAGACCCCGCUUGAGGAAAAAGAGCCAACGGCCACAGGAUCUCCAUUUUAAGAAGUGCAAACCUUCCAGAGGAGAGGAAGACUGCGCAAUCAAGAAGCAACAGGAUAAUCUUCAGCUUGUUCAAAAAGAGAGGGCCGUCUACGAGAUUACUGCUGCCUCCAAGGAAAAAGACCUGCGACGACUAUCAGUUGUCCAUCGGCCCCUUCCCACCUUCAAGUAAGAAGAUCGGUGUGCACUACAGCUUUGACUUUGCCCAGCAGCUUUGAUGCCAAAAGACCUGGUGUGGUCCUAGCUAGGACUCACAGCGACGUAGAGCCUGUUAGCUUUCAGCUGCUGUGUGACCCGGACGUUCUACCCCGUCGUCUGUGUUCCUGCCCUGCCUGCACCUGGACUGAUCACGGACAGGCAGACUUAUCUUUUUUCAAAGAUAAGGCCUUUCUGUUCCGAUGAAGCGAAGGACAUUAUGUGCCCAGCACCACAAAGCACAACACAGAAUAGCACACAGUAGAGGAUGAUGGUGUGGCACUGUGACAUUUGCGUUUUGGCAAUUUGUAAUGUGUAUAAAGUUGUAAAUAAAAAUCACAUUUGAGACAUGAUCAAAGUCAA